This is a non-coding RNA of Zootoca vivipara (common lizard), 14033 nucleotides long. The record is from RefSeq and is a predicted model, not a curated record. NCBI's taxonomy places the organism in Eukaryota, Metazoa, Chordata, Lepidosauria, Squamata, Lacertidae.
GCCAUGUUAGCCGCUCUCUCUCUUUCUGUCUCCUCCACAGAUCUCGCGAGAGCGGCUGGCUGCUGCUGCUGCUGCUGGUGGCGGCUGCGGAGGGGGUUGGAUCGGCGGCGGCGGCGGCGGCAGCAGCAGGAGCAGUAGCGGCGGCGGGAGGCGGAGGAGGCGGCGGCGGCGGAGGAGGAGGCGGCGGCGGCCGGGGGGCGCAGGCGGGCUUCGGGAGGCCCGGCAGCAUCAUGGCGGACAGAGACAGCGGCAGCGAACAGGGUGGCGGCGGCGGGGCUCCGGGCCCGGGCGGCGGUGGUGGCGGCAGCGGGCCCGGCGGCGGUGUGGGCCUUCAGCACGAGACGCAGGAGCUGGCCUCCAAGCGGGUGGACAUCCAGAACAAGCGCUUCUACCUGGACGUGAAGCAGAACGCGAAGGGCCGCUUCCUGAAGAUCGCGGAGGUGGGCGCCGGGGGCAGCAAGAGCCGCCUGACGCUCUCCAUGUCGGUGGCCGUGGAGUUCCGCGACUACCUGGGCGACUUCAUCGAGCACUACGCGCAGCUGGGCCCCAGCCAGCCGCCGGAGCUGGCGCAGGCCGCGGACGAGCCGCGGAGGGCCCUCAAGAGCGAGUUCCUGGUGCGCGAGAACCGCAAGUACUACAUGGAUCUGAAGGAGAACCAGCGCGGGCGGUUCCUGCGCAUCCGGCAGACGGUCAACCGCGGGCCGGGCCUGGGCUCCACGCAGGGGCAGACCAUCGCGCUGCCGGCGCAGGGGCUCAUCGAGUUCCGCGACGCCCUAGCCAAGCUCAUCGACGACUACGGCGUGGAGGAGGAGCCGGCCGAGCUGCCCGAGGGCACCUCCUUGACGGUGGACAACAAGCGCUUCUUCUUCGACGUGGGCUCCAACAAGUACGGCGUCUUCAUGCGGGUGAGCGAGGUCAAGCCUACCUACCGCAACUCCAUCACCGUCCCCUACAAGGUGUGGGCCAAGUUCGGGCACACCUUCUGCAAGUACUCGGACGAGAUGAAGAAGAUCCAGGAGAAGCAGAGGGACAAGCGGGCGGCAGCCGCCGCCGCGGCCUCCUCGCCCUCCUCCGGGGGAGCAGAGCAGCCGCCCGAGGCCGAGGGGGGCAGCAGCAGCAGCAGCGUCGCCGCCGCCGCCGCCGGCCCGCCGGGAGCCUUGCUGCAGGCCGAGGAGCCGGAGGAGGAUUGAUCUCCAUCCCUCCUUGCCUCCUUUCUUCUCCUCCUCCUCCCCACUGCCUUCCUCCUCCUCCUCCCCACUUGGCUGCCUCCUCCCUGCCCUGCUGCACAGAGACACUCGUAAUAAUAAUAAUGACGACGACAACAAACAACAACAUCGCCACACAAGAGAGAGAGAUACGUUAUACUGUAAGCGAGCGAGAGAGAGAAAACCGACAUCCACACACUGAAAAUAAUACAUGCAGUUAAAUAUACCUGUUGUUCUAACUCCAAGGGGAGCACCACCGACCACCCACCCACCACCAAAACUGACAGCCGAGCAAGCAACUUCUUUCUCUCCACCCCAUCGCUGGAUUGUUCCUUCCACUCUUGCCCAUCGUAUAAAACAACGUUUACCAGUAAAUAUCGGUUUAUUCCUGAAACCAGAAGCCCUAGACAUAUCUUUGUUUAUAAGAUGAAUGGCAAAGAAUUCAAUUGGCAUCUCUGGAAACAGCAUUAGUUCCCGGAAGCACUUUCUUCACAGUACCAGCAUACAUAAACCUGGAAUUCCAAGAUUUCAUUAUUAUGUUGAGCGUUAAAGGGUAAUCACUUGGUCCUCUAAUAUAGGGUGCUGUUAAAUUUAUACCCAAGAGCCCCUCUUUCCAGCCCCAAGAGCCGCUCCUCCGCCCAACCUUGUAUGAAGGUACAUGUCAUUGUGAAGAGAGGCCAGUUCAGCCAUCUCUGGAAUUUCAGCUGAUGGGGAGAGUGCAGCCAUGAUCACAGUAUAUGCUAACUAUUCUCCAUAUAGUUGAGCACCUCGUACAUGAUUGCAUGGAAGGAUUUGGCAGUGCAAAGCCGUCUUUUUCCUUCUUUUUUUUUCUUUUCAGAAGAUGAGGACAAAACCUGUAGUGUAUUUUUUCACAUGUGAGUUUUCUGAAAAGACCAGGAAAAAAAAUCUCUCAAGAAAGGCUAGAAUUAUAUCUCUCAAGUCUCUGCAUUAUUAUUUUUUGCUAGUUAAUCUUUAUUAGAUGUACUCCGAUCUCUACAUUAUUAUUAUUAUUAUUAUUAUUAUUAUUAGGCUAGUUACUCUUUAUUAGAUGUACCAAUAUCCAUUGGUGGUCAUGUUUUUCUGUAACGUUUUACAAGCAUACGCUGUAAGAGUACACACUUAUUAGAAGAUUGGAAUGUUGAAUUAGGCAAAAAAUAUUUGCUUUUAUUUAUGUAAAUAGCUGCUAUCCUGUUUUUAUUAUUCCUGGCUACCAUCUCAUAACUGUUGUAUUUUGAUCUAAUGGGCAAUGUCGAGCAAUGUUCAGACAUUCUGUGGUUUAUGUAUUCGUGUAAUUGUAUGUAUGUAACUACUAACUCUAGAUUGUAACUAAGAAACAUGUUCGUUUCAUUUAUUCAGAAUAGUAUAUUUCCUGUCUAAGAAUAUUUUCAAUUAUAUGAGAAAAGGAAUUUAUUAUUUUUUUUAAAGAUUUGUCCUGCAAGGUCUGGUUUCUCUGCUUUUAAAAAAUACUGCCGGGGCCGCUAUCUAGUUUCACUUGAUAGACCAAAGUUACCAUUGACACUGUCUUGCAAAUGCUGAACAAAUUUAUAUCCUUUGCACUUUAAAUGAAUAUAAGAUAAGGAAAAUCAAAGUGUCAAUUGUAUAUACAUUCACUGUACAGUUGAAUGUAUAUCUUUAGUCAGUCUGACUCUGUUUAUAAAGGGGGUAUUUUCCUUUGUUGUUGGAAGAAGAGUACUUGAGCAAUGUAUUUGCUAGUCAAUAUAAAGUGUUUACAUGUAAUUACUUAAUAAAUUAUUUGAUUUAAGAUGCAUUAUAGUGAUUUUUAAGUGUCAACCAUUGGGGGAUAUCUUUUAAGUUCCUACUGUUUUGAAACUCUUUUAAAGCAGUCACUUUAAAUGCAUUCAGUUGCUCAGAACUGAGCUUUGAGGAAGACACAAAGCAUACACUUCUGCAAGAUUUAACAGGACUGCUGAGUGUACCAUUUUGUAACACCCACAACAUGCACACGUUGAAAAAGGAAAUCUUAUAAUAAUUCAGGAUUCUAAAUGCAGCAGUGCCUACAAAAGAUAUGCCAUGAUCUUAUUGAUGGCAAUGAAAACAUAGGUAUAUAAAGGAGAAUUCCUGGAUGCCAAGAUCCAAGUUUGGUGAGAGAACCCCAGCAGAGAUUUAAAAUCACAAAACAUGCAGCAAAGUAAAGCAUGGAAAUAUAGGCUGUUAGACUUUUAAAAUAUGCCCUUCAAAGCUGCUUCCAAAGUCCCCCUCUUUCCCUAGCAAAGAAAAAGACCCACCCACUUGGUAAAUUAAAAGUGGUUUAGUUACAAACUUUCCAAGGGUCAGAUUCAUGUGCUUUUCCAUACAGCAUUGAAAAAAAGUUGCACGGGCAGUAACACUUGACUUAGUUACAGUGGUGAAACUUCCUAAAUUAUUUGUAUAGGAAAUUAUUAGCAUAGGCUUGUAAAAGCUAUACAGUCUGAGCUGCAGCAACCAACUCGAAACAUUUUGUGCUUGUCUGUUAGACUGAGGUGAACAAAGGCCUUUGAUUACCUUCCUCCCAAGAUGAGGGGGAAUGACUUAGAUAAGCCUGACAGGACAGUGUACUCUAUGGCAUUAACCGUUUCAUGCAUCAAUUAGACUUAUGCAUAUUGGUUGUGUGAGGCUGGCCAUCCCACAAACUACUUCUCGGGCAAAUAUAACCAUUGCAUGGGCAAUUAAUGAAGCACCCACAGUCCUAAUUUGACUCGUAGGUUCUCAAAAUUGUCUCUUGGUAGUAGCUUGAUGAGAAUGUCAAUUUCUUUGCUUUGACAAUACGCCAAAUCAACAGGACCAUCUUGUGUCACCUCACACAUUGAGAUAUUUCACCCCAAUGUGCUUGGUUUGGCCCAGGAAACAGGAACAUUUCCAAACAAAGAUAAAUCCACCUGUUGAUUUGUAAUCCUUUUUGUCUCUGGCAUGGUCAACAUCUGUGUAACCUAGUAGUUUUGGAUAGUUGUCGGCUGGCAGUUUAAGUUCCCUUUAAGUAUCUAGCAACUCUCUUCACAGCAGUCCAGUCCUUCUCAGUGGGAAAGCUAACUUUCCUGCUUAGGGUUUUAAUUUUCCUGCUUAGGAUUCCCACUGCAUUUGCUAUGUCAGGUCAGGUUGUUGUGGUUCAGGAAAGGAUCUUUCGCAUAGCUGACCUGUACCAGUUGAUGUCUGGGAAGAGUUCAGACUUAUCUUUACUCUUUAGAAAGUCAGUCACCAUUGGCAUGGCUGCUUCCUUGGCUUCUUUCACUCCUGGACUGUCAAGCGAUUCAAUAACUUUUCUGCUUUUGACUUAGAGUGAAAAGAUUAAGGAUCUUAUCUUCUAUUUGAAUACCCAAGAAGAAAGUAUUUCCCAGUUCCUUUAUCUCUACUUCUUUGCUUAGGUAUUCCACAACUUCUGUGUAGCCUUGGUUAUUUUCAGUUGCAAUACUUAAAUCAUCCACAAAGGCCAAAACAAAAGAAAAUUGUUCAUUUUUGCCCUUGGUGUACAAGCACUUCCCUGCAUGACCAUGUAUGUAGCCCAGUUGUGUGAGCUUCCUGUGUGCUUUCUCAUUCCAUGCUCUAGCACAGGCAUCCCCAAACUGCGGCCCUCCAGAUGUUUUGGCCUACAACUCCCAUGAUCCCUAGCUAACAGGACCAGUGGUCGGGGAAGAUGGGAAUUGUAGUCCAAAACAUCUGGAGGGCCGAAGUUUGGGGAUGCCUGUUCUAGCAGCUUGUUUUAAUCCAUAAAGCCUCUUCUGAAGUUUGUCUACUAGAUACGCUUCCUUUGGUUUGAUAAAACCUUUGGCUUGUUUCAUUUACAGAACUGGCCAUGCAAAAAUGUGGUUUUAAUGUCUAUGCAUUUCACCUUUAUUUGUUCAGAAGCUACUAUGCUCAAAAGCAGUCUGAUGGUGGGGCGUCUCACUACAGGUGCAAACGUUUCACUGUAGUCUUUCUCAUACUUUUGCAAGUAACCUUUUGCCUCAGGUCUUGCUUUGUAGUCCUCAAUUUCCCCCUUCUGCUCCCUUCUCUACCUUAAACACCCACGUGCUUCCUAUUGCCUUCUCUAGUUCUGGUGCAGUGCAUCAAUUACUUCCUGUGCAGCAUUCCUCCACAGGUGAGCUUCAGCGGCUUGCAUCUGCUCAAUCUUUUCCCAGGUGAAAGUUUCUAUGGGUUGCACCAACCUUGUUAGGUAGGACAAUCGUGGGUUUGGAACAACUUCAUUGUGUCUCAAUGAGCACCUGGCAUCUGGCUCUGAGAUCUCAUCAAUCUCUUCAUCACCAUCUAAUGUAUGCAUCUCAUAAUCAGUCUCCUCCUCUCUGGUUGUGCUGCUUCUUGGAAUCUGCUCCUUCAUUUUUCUUUCUUUCAUUUUUUCAUAUAUAUUUUUCAUUUUUUUCCUGGGUUCAACUGCUCAUCUGGAGCUACUUUGUAUUAUCUUUUCUCAGUCUAUCUGACUGUGGAAUACAGCUCCAUGGGGUAUGACGGAUUUCUAAACUAUUUCAGUAAUCAGAAAUCUAAAUGCAAAGGGAAUUGCACAGCGACUGUUGGACAAUAGGAGGGUUUGGGUGUCUUGUGCUCUGUGGUUCUUGUGUUUCCUUCGGGGUACUUUAUACUAGAACUUAAUGUAAGAGGUAGGCUUGACAAAACAAUUUGUGGUUACAUCAGUUUUGUUUUACCUGACUGUAUAGGGCAGGGGUCCCCAGACUAAGGCCCGGGGGCCGGAUGUGGCCCAAUUGCCUUCUAAAUCCGGCCCGCGGACGGUCCAGGAAUCAGCAUGUUUUUACAUGAGUAGAAUGUGUCCUUUUAUUUAAAAUGCAUCUCUGGGUUAUUUGUGGGGCCUGCCUGGUGUUUUUACAUGAGUAGAAUGUGUCCUUUUAUUUAAAAUGCAUCUCUGGGUUAUUUGUGGGGCCUGCCUGGUGUUUUUACAUGAGUAGAAUGUGUCCUUAUAUUUAAAAUGCAUCUCUGGGUUAUUUGUGGGGCAUGGGAAUUCGUUCAUAUUUUUUUUCAAAAUAUAUUCCGCCCCCCCCCCACAAGGUCUGAGGGACAGUGGACCGGCCCCCUGCUGAAAAAGUUUGCUGACCCCUGGUAUAGGGGCUCUACUGAUGUAGCUGCUGAGCUGUUAGACAGCUUUGAUGGACCAGUCCAUCAUCUCAGAGGAUCAUCAUUAGUGGAGGGCAACUGUUCCCUGGCAGCCUGUUUCCUAACUGAUAGGCCCACUCCUAGCUUUUGUUUCUCGGUGAGAAACUGGUUUCCAGUUCUCAUGGUUUUUCAGAGAAGCUUAUCCUCUCUUUGCAUUUCUAGAAAAUGUGAAUGAAUUUUUUUUAUAAAAAAAAUGAGUGUAAAAUACAUUCCUUUUUUAAAAUGGCACUUCCCACUUUUUGUUUCUCAGUAACAUUUGCAAAAGAUGCUUUUAAGGUGCUCUUGAUGCCAUGCUGAUUCUACAGCUUAGUUCUAGGUUUAACUGAAAAUUAAUGGUGCAGCAACUCAGUCUUCAAAUAGUUAUAAGAAUGCUUGAUUCUUCCUUUGAGAUGAUUCAAAACUCUUAAGAUUUGGUUGCAUUGGAGUAUUUAGCAAUAAAAAGCCACCCCUUGCUUCAAGGAAAUCAACAUUUAGAUAUGGCCAGAAGCGGUAGCCAUAGAAUGGAUUGUUUAUUUAAAUAUUUAUAAAUCACACUUUUGUCAAAAUGCACCCUUCAAAAAUGACCCAAACAAUAAAACAUCAGUAAAAAGAUGCAUGAAUACUAGUUGGCAAAAGGAAAAUUCACAUUUCAAAGGCCUGUCUAAAUAACACCAUUUUCAGGAGAUGUCUUUUAAAAAAGCAGCAAUGACUUCUGCUGAAACUCUGCUGCCAGGAAGUUCCACCCUAAAGGGGAUCUCAGAGAUCAAGGUGGAACCAAAGGACUCAGGCCGUCCAUAAGGUACUUUGGGCCCAAGUUGUUUAGGGCUUUGUGAAUUAACACAAGGACCUCAAAACUGGUCUGGGAGCAGUUGUAUUUUGCUCCUGUGGGCAGUCUGACUGCUGCAUUCAGUUUCCAGACCUGAUACAAGUAUAGCCCCACUUAAAGCACAUUAGAGUAUUCAGGUCUUGAGGUUACCAAUGCAUGGACCACUGGGGUCAGGCUAUCUCAGUGCAGGAACAAUAGAAAUACGGCCAGUAUCAUCCCUACUAAUAUUCAGGUGACUGGUUAAAUUGGUUUUAUUUUGGGUUUUUGCACCAUGAAUGAUGUUCGGGUGCUUUCAGCCAGGUGUUUUAAACUUUGUCUAUUGCAUAUUCUCAUUUGUUAGUUCCACGCAGAUGUGAAGAAAAGCCAGGAAAUAGAUCCUCACAAACAGAACACCAACAUCUAGAAAUAUACUUUCUUACAACAAUCCAUUUAGUGUUAGUUAUUCUUGCUGAUGCAAGAUCCUAGAAGGAAAUGACAAUGGAGGCUAAAACAGUAUUAAAAAUAUAUAAUAAUAAUAAUAAUAAUAAUAAUAAUAAUAAUAAUAAUAAUAAUAAAUUAUUUAUACCCCGCCCAUCUGGCUGAGCUUCCCCAGCCACUCUGGGCGGCUUCCAACCGAAUAUUAAAAACAGUACAGCAUCAAACAUUAAAAACUUCCCUAACAGGGCUGCCUUCUAUUGUCUUCUAUAAGUAAAGUAGUUGCUUAUUGCCGUGACAUCUGCUGGGAGGGCGUUCCACAGGGCAGGUGCCACUACCGAGAAGGCCCUCUGUCUGGUUCCCUGUAACCUCACUUCUCGCAAUGAGGGAACUGCCAGAAGGCCCUCGGUGCUGGAUCUCAGUGUCCGGGCUGAAUGAUGGGGGUGGAGACGCUCCUUCAGGUAUACCGGACCGAGGCUAUUUAGGGCUUUAAAGGUCAGUACCAACACUUUGAAUUGUGCUCGGAAACGUACUGGGAGCCAGUGUAGAUCUCUCAGGACUGGUGUUAUGUGGUCCCGGCGGCCACUCCCAGUCACCAGUCUAGCUGCCGCAUUCUGGAUUAGUUGCAGUUUCCGGGUCACCUUCAAAGGUAGCCCCACGUAGAGCGCAUUGCAGUAGUCCAAGUGGGAGAUAACCAGAGCAUUCUUAAUAACACAGAGUCAUUUGUUUUCCUAGCAUCUAAAAAUUAAGAUAAAAAUAAAUGUGAACAGCUGCAUACAAUAAAUGUGAACAAACAUACAAAAGUGGAAGGAGCCCCACUUGGACGAAAGAGAGGCUGGGAUACCAUUCUAACAUAACAGAGAAAAUGGUGAAAUAGCAAAUAUAUUUAUCAGUAGUAUUCAUAAGUGCUAGUAGUUGGUAACACAUUUCUAAUUAGAUCCAGAUCUAAAGUGGCAGGUUCUGGUGACUAGGAGGCACCUUGAAGAGUCUCGCAAGCGGAAACAGACAAGUUCCUGGGAAACCUACAAUCGAAAAGAGUUGAUUGGGAAACAAGAGGGAGGUGAGAAAGAAGCAAGUGCUGGGGUGGAUGGACAUGUACAAAUUCAGUUCUACAUGCUUAGGUUUGGCUGCUGUUGACAUUAAUGCCAAAGGUUACCUAUCACUAGAUGGUAUACUUGUUAUGUUUAGCUCACACUAGCAAUGCAGGAGUACAGAUAUCACUCCAAUUUCACUUGUAGGCCGGGAGACUCUAAAAUACUGCAAAGGCGCCUAACCACCUGCCAGAAUCCCUUCUAGGAAGGCACAUCGCCUAGGGCAGUAGCCUUUAAUGGGGAACAGUUUUUGUCAAAGAUCUCAUUUACCUUUGACCUGCUUUGUUUAAUUGUGACCCAUUAGGCUAAUAGUCCAUCUCAUAGAGGGUAGCUAUAAAAGGUUAUGUAUACUACUAUGCUAGCUGCAAUGGCAUCUCAGUGCUGAUGUUGUCCUGAGGGCAGUAUGAAGGUCAGACACGCCACUGAGAGAGUAUUAGCAUGCAUUUGUUUCUGUUUAAUCUGCUGUGAAGCUGGUCUGACCCCAUGUCAAGCAGCUAGAGGAGCAGGACAGGGUGAAGAAAGUGUCGUGAGUGGAGGGGGACCUUUCUCCAUCCUCUGGACCCCCUGGGAAACUCAUCAAACCUGCUGCACCUGGAAUUGGGUGUGGAGAGGGCACCUGAAUGGGACACGGCUGUGGGCAGCCUGAGGAAGGACCAUCCCUCUUGGGCCUGCCCAUAAAAAGCAAGUCUAGAGGGAGAGACUAAGGCAGGCAUCCCCAAACUGCGGCCCUCCAGAUGUUUUGGCCUACAACUCCCAUGAUCCCUAGCUAACAGGACCAGUGGUCGGGGAAGAUGGGAACUGUAGUCCAAAACAUCUGGAGGGCCGAAGUUUGGGGGUGCCUGGACUAAGGUGAUGGGACCAGCUGGUUCCAGGAACUCUUCUUGUUGUGAGACUUUUGUGGGUGAGCUGAGAGUUUGUUGGGUGAGAACCAAAGGGCUAAGAGGGAGGGUGUGUCAGAAGGAAAAUGAAUUGAUAACUGAUUUUUAUAUAUGUUAGUAACUUUGUAUUAAUAUAACAUUUUUAUAUGUAACUGUGUAUUUUUGUAAUAUUUUUAAAAGUUGUCUGUUGUUGCUUCUUUUUUGUAUACUGCUUAGAGAUGCUUCUAAUAAGCAGUAUAGAAAUUAAUUACCGUAAUUAAUUAAUCCAUCAAUCAAUAAUGGCACAGAAGCACAUAACAGAACUGUUAAGUGUUCCCCUCUAUAGUUCUCAAUUCACUUUUCACUGAACCUCUAGGAGACCUCAUUAAAACCAUUUGCACAGUCUCCAAACGUUGGCUUCUUCUGAGAUCUUAGUUGGAUAUUUAGGGUUUCGAGAUCCAGAAUCCCCAAAUUUCGACAACUUAGGCAGCUGCUUGCUUAUAUUUGCAUUCCACCCAGGUACAAUUUCAUAAGAUGGCACAAUAUGUAUAGAGAAAAAUGUUACAGUUCAGGCUUUUGUUGUUGUUGUCCUUCUGCACCAUACAUGUUGGCUUCUUAGCUUUUCAAACGAGAUGAAGAGUUAACUUUAUGCAGAGUAGAACCUAUGUGCAGUGAUUGAUCCGAAUUGUUCUCUAUCCCAGAUCCAGUUGCUAUCUCCGUAGCUGUGUCUACAUAUAAUGCAAAGAUAAGUUCCCCAGAAGGAGAUCACAGUUGCUUUGCUUCUCCCUGGUCCUUACAAAUGAGUACAGCAGCUAAGCUAUUCAGAUGGUUAAGCAAAAGAGAACCCAAGCACAGUCAUGCGUUCAGAUGAAAGACUUAGCCAAGCUUCACUUUACCUGCUGCACUGCACUGAGCAAAGCAGCUGCAAUAUCUUCUCCAGGAUCUAGGACAUUUGCACAAUCCCAGUGCACCAUAAUUUGGCUUACUGUGACAUGUGAACCAGGCCCAUGUGAGAUGUCACAUUUCAACAAGGACCUUUGCAUACUAAGUCCAGGAUGUGAGUUAGAAACAGUGUGAUUUUGGAAGGAUACACAUAGCUGUCAAGUUUUCCCUUUUCCCGUGAGGAAGCCUAUUCAGCAUAAGGGAAUUUCCCUUUUAAAAAAAGGGAGAACUUGACAGCUAUGGGGAUACAAUGGCAUGAAUUGGGCCUCUGCACAUUGGACCCUAUGCAUAUAGACUCCUUUUCCAGUACUUGGGUAACAGGAGGACACCUCAUUUAGAUCCUAUACAUUUAAAGCCAGAGGUGAAUACAGUGUCAUGUGACUGAAAAAAGACCCCUCCACUUGUAGGUAUUUUUGUUUCUUGAAGCAGAUGACAAAGACUUGUUUGUGGGAACUGAAGGACACAAAAUCCGGGAACUGUUUUUGCUAUUAAUUGGCCAGAUAAGAUCACGUUGCUUGGUAAAGACUUUAUACUUCUUACAUCUUAAAGGUAAAGGGACCCCUGACCAUUAGGUCCAGUCGUGACCGACUCUGGGGUUGCGCGCUCAUCUCGCAUUAUUGGCCGAGGGAGCCGGCGUAUAGCUUCCAGGUCAUGUGGCCAGCAUGACAAAGCCGCUUCUGGCAAACCGGAGCAGCACAUGGAAACGCCGUUUACCUUCCCACUGUAGUGGUUCCUAUUUAUCUACUUGCAUUUUGACGUGCUUUCAAACUGCUAGGUUGGCAGAAGCUGGGACCAAGCAAUGGGAGCUCACCCCAUCACAGGGAUUCGAACCGCCGACCUUCUGAUCAGCAAGCCCUAGGCUCAGUAGUUUAACCACAGCGCCACCUGGGUCCCUAGUUACAUCUUAGGAUGCACAAAUGCACAUAUUGGCAAAUGCAGCAUGAUGGGAGUCCUAAGUUUCAGUGAGGCUUCUCUCAAUUUUGUAACCAUGCAUAGAUAUUGUAUUCAAUAAAUAGAAUAUUUAACAAAUUAGAAUAUCUAAUUUAUUAUAAGCAAGAUAAGAGCGCAUAAUCACUUUCACAUUUUAAAGUGGGGAGGGGUGUUGCCCCCCCCCGCCCUACACAAGUAGGAUAGCCAGUAAAAAUUGUUGGCGGGAGGGGGGCGUCCAGCAACUUUAAGGAUAAGAGUUAACAGUGGGAAGAGUGAAGCCCAGAUGGGCUGAUUUAAAGGGAGUGAUAAAGAGAAUGUUGCUGUUCUCUAGGUACCGGUAGAACCAACAGCCCAGUCCUUCCUGCCAGGGUGCUCAGAGAGGGUGAGCUACAGUAGGAGCAGAAGCAGUAGUUCUCAGAACAGCUGCUGCUAUGAGGAGGGUCUCCCCCUGCUAUUUACUACUCAUUGUAUGGUUGGCUUCUUUUCCUCAAAACAAAAAAAUUAUGCUUAAGUAAUCUGUAGUGUAGUUUGACCCCUAGUAUUUCCUUCCAACCAAACUACAUGGUAUGAAGAUGUUGCAGUUCAACAGAAAUGUCUCCCACGUAGCUCCCAUCCCUCUUUAUUCAAGAUGGCAGAGGAAGAAGGCUCAAAGAAUGGAAUGGAAUGUGAGUAACAGCUCUGAAUAAUGUCAAAGAAUAUAUUGUGCUCCUAAGUACUUUUUCAGUGUUCCAGUUCUAUUCUCCAUCACUGAGAAAGACAUAUACAGUGGUACCUCUACUUACAAAUAACUCUACUUACGAAUGUUUCUACUUACGAAUGGAGCUCCGUCCGCCAUCUUGGAUGCGGUUUAGAUAGGAUUUUUUCUACUUACGAAUUUUUAGAUAGGGUUGCUUCGACUCACGAAUUUUUUCUCCCAAUGCAUUCCUAUGGGAUUCGACUUACAAAUUUUUCCGACUUACAAAUGUGCAUUCAGAACACAUUAAAUUUGUAAGUAGAGGUACCACUGUAUACCAAAAAAAGUGUUAUUGAAAGCUCCAUGUAUAUGAGCACUACAAAUAUUCCAGUUGUGAUGACCGUUCCACAAUAAAAGCAAAUGUGGGAACUGUGAAAAUGUGGAUUCUUCGCAUUUAUCUUCACUGUGAAGAUGUAGGGCAGAUUCCCUUUCCUAAGCAUGAGUUUUUCAGCAAGGGAGUCUGAGGAACUGAGGUAUACAGUAGUGACAAGAGAUGAAGUUCUAGUCCUUACUGACAAACUGAAAAUUAAGAAAAUAUCAACCCAAACAUGAAAUUGAUGUUUUAACAGAACUAUGUAACUUCUCCCUAAGAUCAACCUCAGAGGGUUGGAAAGGAACAAAUGUUAACGCCAAUUUUAAAAAAGGUGUUCAGGGGAAAUUGAGGGAAUUACGCAUCUGUCCUGGGUAAAAUGAUGGAAAGAUAAGAUGACAUUAUGAAGCAUAUUAAAGAACAAGUCUUGCUGAAGAAGAAUCAAGAUGGCUUCCACCAGGGUAAGUCCUGCCUCACUAACCAUUUAGAGUUUUUUGAGAACAUCAAUAAGUAUGUGGAUUGGGGUGAUCUGGUGAUCUGAUUGACGAGAGACCCUGGCAGCAUUGGGGGCACAUGCAAAUGAUCGCCCACAAAAAGCUCGACAAGUCAUAGUGAUCGCUUGAAAGAAGCUCAACAACUUUUGGAGCGAUCUCCCCCAAAAAGCUGCUGAUCACCCGGAUUUUUACUUCUUGAAAUAUGGCAAUCUUAUUAUAAAGGAUCUUAAGUUUAGGUUGAUAAAGGGAUCUCUCCAAACUGGGUGAAUAGGUUAAAAUGGCAAAUGCAGUUGACUAUAAGUAAGUGCAAAGUGAUGGAGACUGGAACAAAACUCCUAACUUUUUCUAUACACGGAUGGGGUCUGAGCUCAUGGUGCCUGACCAGGAAAUGGAUCUUUGUGUCAUGGUAGAUAGCUUAAAGAAAGCAUAGACCUAAUUUGUGGCUGCUGUGGGGAAAAAGGCAAAUUCUUUAUUUGGGAUAAUUAGGAAAGGGAUUUGCAAUGAAGCUUGUCAGUAUCCUUAAAGGUUUUAUACAAAUCUAUGGUUCGAUUGCACUUGCAAUACUCUGUACAAUUGUGGUCACCCCAGUUCAAAAAGGAUGUUGUAGAGUUGGAAAAGGGCAGCCUAAAUGAUAAGGGAGCUUGAGCAUCUUCUCUGCAAAGAAAGGUUACAACUGUGAGGGCUUUUGAACUUAGAAAAAAGGCGACAAGACAGAGGUGUGUAAAAUUAUGCAUGGUGUAGAUCACUGGUUCCAAAUUAGAGGUCCACGGACACCUGGGGGUCCACAGUCCCAUCCCUUGCCUCAUCCCCAACUAAAAUUUGUCAGUUUUGCAUGGUAAUAUCACAAUUUUUAUGGGGUGUUUUAACACUGUGUGAUUUUUCAAUAUAUUGGCCAAAAUCAGAUUUAAAAUCACACCACAAUAACGAUUUUGACCUGGCAAUGCACAACAAUAUAUCACUCCUUGCGUGAGGGAGAACAGGACAGCUAAUUUCAAGGCACCGCUGAUAUCGCACGAUGAUCUCAGCCAAUAACACUGCUUAUCUGAGCUGCCUUCCUUCACACUGACGGAGAACAGGGCAGCUGAUAUCCCUCAUUCAAGGCACCGUGGCACUACCUUCCCCUGGCACCUCCCUCACCUGUAUGAUCUCUGUGAUUUC